AGGAGAUAUGUUUUCGACCUCUCUCAUGUGAUUGACUUCACUCCACUCGAGAUCGGCGAGGAUCUGAGAUACGAGGAGCGACCGUUGCGGAUUCUGUUAAGGAUUUUGUAUUAGCAAGUUUCGUGAAGUGAGUCGGAGUCUUGAAGAACCGGUACAUAUCGUCGAAGAUCGAAGAAUUCAAGAUUUCGAAGAAGUUGGAAAAUAACUCACGAUAUGAAUCACGAUGCUCAGGUAAAGUUUUAAAUUCAUGUUAUGGUGAUUCAUACUUAGUUAUAGG
Molecule: long non-coding RNA, 277 nt
Filed under: Ananas comosus (pineapple)
Lineage: Eukaryota; Viridiplantae; Streptophyta; Magnoliopsida; Poales; Bromeliaceae
Description: long non-coding RNA (ACOM_LNC001112)
Source: RNAcentral